Solanum tuberosum (potato) is the source of this 368-nucleotide long non-coding RNA. RefSeq lists it as uncharacterized. The transcript has 3 exons. The record is from RefSeq and is a predicted model, not a curated record. Lineage: Eukaryota; Viridiplantae; Streptophyta; Magnoliopsida; Solanales; Solanaceae.
UUAGUUCUCAGGCUAACUUGGUAGGUAUAGAAUAAAUGCCCUUCCUUUUGUCUCAGUUCAUUCUCCACCCAUAUGACUGCAAUUUCAGAAGCAAAGCACAUAUUAUUGUGCAGUCCUGCUGAUGUGCUCUACUACAGAACAAGCCCACAGAAAGAUCCAGCAUUUAUAUCAACAAUGUCAUGAAUUAACUAAUAGACUACAUGGUUCCACCAGGGCAGAUACAAUCUGAACACUAACUUAGGAGAAAGCUAGAAGGACUGUCAUUCAAGUUUCACAUGUGGUAAAGGAAAAGGCAAAGGCAGUGAAAAUAUUCUUUACUCAAAGGAUUUUCCAACUCACACUUCUUCAGCUGCUGAAAUAGAGGACAA